RNAcentral lists this ribosomal RNA (253 nucleotides) under uncultured bacterium. Its description in RNAcentral is "partial 16S ribosomal RNA". It matches the Rfam family "Bacterial small subunit ribosomal RNA", at positions 524 to 776 of the family's 1533-position model. The record is from RNAcentral.
UACGGAGGGUGCGAGCGUUGUUCGGCAUCACUGGGCGUAAAGCGCGUGUAGGCGGCCUUUUAAGUCUGAUGUGAAAGCCCGGGGCUCACCCCCGGAAGUGCAUUGGAAACUGGGAGGCUAGAGUACCGGAGAGGAAGGUGGAAUUCCUGGUGUAGCGGUGAAAUGCGUAGAUAUCAGGAGGAACACCGGUGGCGAAAGCGGCGCACUGGACCAUAACUGACGCUGAGGCGCGAAAGCGAGGGGAGCAAACAGG